RNAcentral lists this ribosomal RNA (253 nucleotides) under uncultured bacterium. RNAcentral describes it as "partial 16S ribosomal RNA". It matches the Rfam family "Bacterial small subunit ribosomal RNA", at positions 524 to 776 of the family's 1533-position model. The record is from RNAcentral.
UACGGGGGGAGCAAGCGUUGUCCGGAUUCACUGGGCGUAAAGAGCGCGCAGGCGGUCGUUCAAGUCGAGUGUGAAAGCCCCCGGCUCAACUGGGGAGGGUCAUUCGAUACUGAUCGACUCGAAGGCAGGAGAGGGAAGCGGAAUUCCCGGUGUAGUGGUGAAAUGCGUAGAUAUCGGGAGGAACACCAGUGGCGAAGGCGGCUUCCUGGCCUGUUCUUGACGCUGAGGCGCGAAAGCUAGGGGAGCAAACGGG